CCUACGGGUGGCAGCAGUGAGGAAUAUUGGUCAAUGGACGAGAGUCUGAACCAGCCAAGUAGCGUGAAGGAUGACUGCCCUAUGGGUUGUAAACUUCUUUUAUAUGGGAAUAAAAUGUUCCACGUGUGGGAUUUUGUAUGUACCAUAUGAAUAAGGAUCGGCUAACUCCGUGCCAGCAGCCGCGGUAAUACGGAGGAUCCGAGCGUUAUCCGGAUUUAUUGGGUUUAAAGGGAGCGUAGGUGGAUUGUUAAGUCAGUUGUGAAAGUUUGCGGCUCAACCGUAAAAUUGCAGUUGAAACUGGCAGUCUUGAGUACAGGAGAGGUGGGCGGAAGUCGUGGUGUAGCGGUGAAAUGCUUAGAUAUCACGAAGAACUCCGAGUGCGAAGGCAGUUCACUGGACUGCAACUGACACUGAGGCUCGAAAGUGUGGGUAUCAAACAGGAUUAGAUACCCGGGUAGUC
RNAcentral lists this ribosomal RNA (460 nucleotides) under uncultured bacterium. RNAcentral describes it as "partial 16S ribosomal RNA". It matches the Rfam family "Bacterial small subunit ribosomal RNA", at positions 338 to 795 of the family's 1533-position model. The record is from RNAcentral.